This 118-nucleotide ribosomal RNA is filed under the name Prolemur simus (greater bamboo lemur). The record is from RNAcentral. Lineage: Eukaryota; Metazoa; Chordata; Mammalia; Primates; Lemuridae.
UCUAGGGCCAUACCACCCUGAACGCGCCCAAUCUCAUCUGAUCUCAGAAGCUAAGCAGGGUUGGGCCUGGUUAGUACUUGGAUUAGAGACUGGCUGGGAACACCGGGUGCCCCUAGGC